Molecule: long non-coding RNA, 538 nt
Organism: Sesamum indicum (sesame)
Lineage: Eukaryota; Viridiplantae; Streptophyta; Magnoliopsida; Lamiales; Pedaliaceae
Source: RefSeq, a predicted model, not a curated record
AAGGUACUUUAUUCGUAGCGACCCCAUGUUCGGAUUUGUAUUUAAAAAUUCACGUAAAAUUUUUGCUCAAGUAUUUGAGUAUAUCUGUCGCUGAUUACUGAAGGAAGGAGAGUGGUUCCCUCAAAGAUGACAGAACAGAUGGAUGCCGACAAGGUCUGGGAUCAGUGUAUAAGCAGUGGCCGACAGUCAUGACUGGGAUCUAUUGCAUUGUUGCUGAAAUCUUAGGAGUGCCGAAUAUUAAUGCUGAAUAGUGGAGAUUCUAGACUGGGUGGGGUAGUGUUUGUUGGCAGCUGUGAAUUAGCAUUGGAGGUGGAUGGUAGCUGAGGCACUUGGAAGAAAGAAAAAUGGGGGAAAGUAAAAAGAGAGGUAAAGCGAACACCAUUCGGGCUGGGCGGAGGUUGGGCCAGGUCAUGAUUUGGAAUUUUGGACGAUGUAUGUCUUAUCUUGUUAUUUGAUUAUACUAAGUAUGAUUGAUAGCUGAUAGUUUCUGUACCAAAAAUUUUGAAAUUGCCCAUCCUUGAUCUUAUUGAUUUUCUUA